This 253-nucleotide ribosomal RNA is filed under the name uncultured bacterium. Its description in RNAcentral is "partial 16S ribosomal RNA". It matches the Rfam family "Bacterial small subunit ribosomal RNA", at positions 524 to 776 of the family's 1533-position model. The record is from RNAcentral.
UACGAACCGUCCAAACGUUACUCGGAAUCACUGGGCUUAAAGGGUGCGUAGGCCGCGCGGAGGGUGGGAUGUGAAAUCCCCCGGCUCAACCGGGGAAUAGCGUCCCAAACCGCCGUGCUCGAGGGAGACAGAGGUGAGCGGAACUGAUGGUGGAGCGGUGAAAUGCGUUGAUAUCGACAGGAACGCCGGUGGCGAAAGCGGACCGCUGGCCCUCUUCUGACGCUGAGGCGCGAAAGCCAGGGGAGCGAACGGG